GGAAGGUCCGGGCGUUAUCCGGAUUUAUUGGGUUUAAAGGGAGCGUAGGCCGGAGAUUAAGCGUGUUGUGAAAUGUANAUGCUCAACAUCUGAACUGCAGCGCGAACUGGUUUCCUUGAGUACGCACAAAGUGGGCGGAAUUCGUGGUGUAGCGGUGAAAUGCUUAGAUAUCACGAAGAACUCCGAUUGCGAAGGCAGCUCACUGGAGCGCAACUGACGCUGAAGCUCGAAAGUGCGGGUAUCGAACAGGAUUAGAUACCCUGGUAGUCCACNCNGUAAACGAUGAAUACUAGNUGUUGGNUUUCAUAAGAA
RNAcentral lists this ribosomal RNA (312 nucleotides) under uncultured bacterium. RNAcentral describes it as "bacterial SSU rRNA". It matches the Rfam family "Bacterial small subunit ribosomal RNA", at positions 527 to 838 of the family's 1533-position model. The record is from RNAcentral.